AGGGAGCUGAGCAGAGCAAUGAGCGACUGGAAUUCAUUAAGGACAAAUGAUUGCAAACUCGGUGAGACGAUGGCUGAUUUAAUCAUGAUUGAGCACUCGGCUGCCAGAGAACAGGAGGGGAAGUAUGGGCUUACGUGGUAGGACAGGGGACAUGCAGUAGGUUGAGACUUUCUUCCUGGCUAUCGGAUGUGUUUAUACAGAUUUAAGCGUGAACUCAAUACUAAAGGAUUUGAAGAGAUUUGAACUUGAUGGAUCAAUGCUUGUAUUUUCUUUCAUUCAUUCAUCCUCAAUAACUGCUUUAUCCUGCUCACAGUUGAGGUGGAUCACAGGAAUUCCUAGGUGUGAGGGUGUGCUGUAUGAGACGGGAGUCUACAGUAUCUCAGAGCUCCUCACACACAUUCAUUCACUCCUUCAGUCACAUCUAGUGGCAAUUUAGUGUAGCCAGUCGAGGAUGAAACCAACGCAGAGACGGACAUGUGAACCAUGGACCGUGGAACUAUCUCUGGCAGGACAGGAUUCUGGCUGCUGCUGAAGGAAACAUGAAGAGCACAUUCUCUGUCUUGCUGUCGUCCAGAUUGCCCUUUCCAAAUCAAUUUGCAGAGGCACAAAGGAAGAAAACAUGGCACGGUGGCAUUAAGAGCUGCUGCUGAUGAUGAUAAUGAUGUCAUGGUACAGUCACUAAUCCUAGCUUCUAUGUAUGGAUGAUCUAAAUCGUUUGAAUGUAGAUUUGUGUUUUUGUUUACUGGUAAUUGGAGGCAUAUACCUGCCUAGAUUUUUUUGAGAAGCAUGCUCUUGUGGAUGAAUGAGCACAAAUCCCCACAGCCACACUCCAAAAUCCAGUGUAAAGCCUUCCCAGAAGAUUGGAGAUUGUUAUAAGAGCAAUGGGGGACUAUAUCUGGAAUGGGAUGUUCAACAAGCACAAUGUGGGUGUGAUGGUCAAAUGUCCACAGACUUUUAGCCAUAUA
This is a long non-coding RNA of Ictalurus punctatus (channel catfish), 965 nucleotides long. NCBI's taxonomy places the organism in Eukaryota, Metazoa, Chordata, Actinopteri, Siluriformes, Ictaluridae. The record is from Ensembl.